Molecule: unclassified non-coding RNA, 205 nt
Filed under: plant metagenome
Description: partial contains small subunit ribosomal RNA, internal transcribed spacer 1, and 5.8S ribosomal RNA
Source: RNAcentral
GUAGGUGAACCUGCGGAAGGAUCAUUACAGAGUUAUGCCCUUAAAUUGGGUAGACCUCCAACCCUUUGUAUACUUGACUUUUUGUUGCUUUGGCGGGCCGUUAGGCUUUUAAAAAAAGGCUUUCCAUUGGCAUAGCUGAUGUGUUGCUCGUCAGAGGAAAAACUAAAACUCUGAAUUUUUAAAUUGUUUGUCCGAGUUUAAAAAC